AGAUUGAACGCUGGCGGCAUGCCUUACACAUGCAAGUCGAACGGCAGCACGGGAGCAAUCCUGGUGGCGAGUGGCGAACGGGUGAGUAAUACAUCGGAACGUGCCCAGUAGUGGGGGGAUAGCCCGGCGAAAGCCGGAUUAAUACCGCAUACGACCUAUGGGUGAAAGCGGGGGAUCGGCAAGACCUCGCGUUAUUGGAGCGGCCGAUGGCAGAUUAGGUGUUGGUGAGGUAAAAGCGUCACCAAGCCGACGAUCUGUAGCUGGUUUGAGAGGACGACCAGCCACACUGGACUGAGACACGGCCCAGACUCCUACGGAGGCAGCAGUGGGAAUUUGGACAAGUGGACGCAAGCCUGAUCCAGCCAUCGCCGCGUGGACGGGAAGAACGGUCCUUCGGGUUACGUAACCGUCGUUUUGUACGAGGGAAAGAAACCGGU
This 437-nucleotide ribosomal RNA is filed under the name uncultured soil bacterium. Its description in RNAcentral is "bacterial SSU rRNA". It matches the Rfam family "Bacterial small subunit ribosomal RNA", at positions 26 to 455 of the family's 1533-position model. The record is from RNAcentral.